This 495-nucleotide ribosomal RNA is filed under the name uncultured bacterium. RNAcentral describes it as "bacterial SSU rRNA". It matches the Rfam family "Bacterial small subunit ribosomal RNA", at positions 24 to 518 of the family's 1533-position model. The record is from RNAcentral.
UCAGGAUGAACGCUGGCGGCGUGCCUAAUACAUGCAAGUCGAACGAAGCACCUCGGUGCUUAGUGGCGAACGGGUGAGUAACACGUGGGUAACCUGCCCUCAAGACGAGGAUAACCGUUGGAAACGAUGGCUAAGACUGGAUAGGAAUACGGAGGCAUCUUCUGUAUUUUAAAAGACCUGGCAACAGGUAUGCUUGAGGAGGGGCCUGCGGCGCAUUAGUUAGUUGGUGAGGUGAUGGCUCACCAAGACGAUGAUGCGUAGCCGGACUGAGAGGUUGAACGGCCACAUUGGGACUGAGAGACGGCCCAAACUCCUACGGGAGGCAGCAGUAGGGAAUUUUCGGCAAUGGGGGAAACCCUGACCGAAGCAACGCCGCGUGAACGACGAAGUACUUCGGUAUGUAAAGUUCUUUUAAGAGGGAAGAAUGGCCCGUGGAAAAGCGGGCGUGACGGUACCUUUUGAAUAAGCCCCGGCUAACUAUGUGCCAGCCGCCGC